AUUGAACGCUGGCGGCAGGCCUAACACAUGCAAGUCGAACGAGGGGCGGACGGGUGAGUAAUGUCUGGGAAACUGCCUCAUGGAGGGGGAUAACUACUGGAAACGGUUGCUAAUACCGCAUACCAUCAGAUGAUCCCAUAUGGGAUUAGCUUGUUGGUGGGGUAACGGCUCACCAAGGCGACGAUCCCUAGCUGGUCUGAGAGGAUGAGCGGCAACACUGGGACUGAGAGACGGUCCAGACUCCUACGGGAGGCAGCAGUGGGGAAUAUUGCACAAUGGGCGCAAGCCUGAUGCACCCAUGCCGCGUGUAUGAAGAAGGCCUGCGGGUUGUAAAGUACUUUCAGCGGGGAGGCGGUACCGGCAGAAGAAGCACCGGCUAACUCCGUGCCAGCAGCCGCGGUAAUUC
This 406-nucleotide ribosomal RNA is filed under the name uncultured bacterium. RNAcentral describes it as "partial 16S ribosomal RNA". It matches the Rfam family "Bacterial small subunit ribosomal RNA", at positions 30 to 526 of the family's 1533-position model. The record is from RNAcentral.